GUAUAUAUCUGUUUAAAAAAAUUUAAAGAUUUAUUUAUAUAAAUAAAAAAUUCUAAAUAUUGAAUAUAAACAUAUUAAUUUAUCGAAUCCAAUAUGUGUAAUUAAAGUUUCAAAAUGAUAAUUAGUUUCUUAAAAUUUUCGAUGCCUCUGCAGUUAGUUAUUUAGCUGCUUUUUAUGCAUGGUUUAUAUUAAUUGUAAUAUAUAGUGCUUCUUGAUUUGCCAUUACCUUAUAUGUAAUCAAUUGAAACUCAAACUCAAGUUCAAAGAUGGGUAAU
Molecule: long non-coding RNA, 275 nt
Filed under: Lathyrus oleraceus (garden pea)
Lineage: Eukaryota; Viridiplantae; Streptophyta; Magnoliopsida; Fabales; Fabaceae
Description: Pisum sativum (pea) long non-coding RNA (PSAT_LNC041317)
Source: RNAcentral